GCGGCGGACGGGUGAGUAACACGUGGGUAACCUGCCUGUAAGACUGGGAUAACUUCGGGAAACCGGAGCUAAUACCGGAUAGUUUCUUUUCUCGCAUGAGAGAAGAUGGAAAGAUGGCUUCGGCUAUCACUUACAGAUGGACCCGCGGCGCAUUAGCUAGUUGGUGAGGUAACGGCUCACCAAGGCGACGAUGCGUAGCCGACCUGAGAGGGUGAUCGGCCACACUGGGACUGCGACACGGACCAGACUCCUACGGGAGGCAGCAGUAGGGAAUCUUCCGCAAUGGACGAAAGUCUGACGGAGCAACGCCGCGUGAGCGAAGAAGGCCUUCGGGUCGUAAAGCUCUGUUGUUAGGGAAGAACAAGUACGAGAGUAAUGUGCUCGUACCUUGACGGUACCUAACCAGAAAGCCACGGCUAACUACGUGCCAGCAGCCGCGGUAAUACAUAGGUGGCAAGCGUUGUCCGGAAUUAUUGGGCGUAAAGCGCGCGCAGGCGGUCCUUUAAGUCUGAUGUGAAAGCCCACGGCUCAAACGUGGAGGGUCAUUGGAAACUGGGGGACUUGAGUGCAGAAGAGGAGAGUGGAAU
RNAcentral lists this ribosomal RNA (587 nucleotides) under uncultured Bacillus sp. RNAcentral describes it as "bacterial SSU rRNA". It matches the Rfam family "Bacterial small subunit ribosomal RNA", at positions 95 to 667 of the family's 1533-position model. The record is from RNAcentral. Lineage: Bacteria; Bacillati; Bacillota; Bacilli; Caryophanales; Bacillaceae.